Molecule: ribosomal RNA, 313 nt
Filed under: uncultured prokaryote
Description: bacterial SSU rRNA
Rfam family: Bacterial small subunit ribosomal RNA
Source: RNAcentral
AGGACGAACGCUGGCGGCGUGCUUAACACAUGCAAGUCGAACGGUUUAUAAGGGCUUGCCCUUAUAGAUAGUGGCGAACGGGUGCGUAACACGUGAGCAACCUGCCCUUUGGACCGGGAUAACACCUCGAAAGGGGUGCUAAUACCGGGUGAGGUCUCCGGCCCGCAUGGGUUGGGGAGGAAAGGGGAAACCCGCCGAAGGAGGGGCUCGCGGCCCAUUAAUGGCGCACCAAGGCGACGAUGGGUAGCCGGCCUGAGAGGGUGAACGGCCACACUGGGACUGAGACACGGCCCAGACUCCUACGGGAGGCAGC